GAAAUGCGAUAAGUAAUGUGAAUUGCAGAAUUCAGUGAAUCAUCGAAUCUUUGAACGCACAUUGCGCCCCUUGGUAUUCCGGGGGGCAUGCCUGUUCGAGCGUCAUUACAACCCUCAAGCUCUGCUUGGAAUUGGGCACCGUCCUCACUGCGGACGCGCCUCAAAGACCUCGGCGGUGGCUGUUCAGCCCUCAAGCGUAGUAGAAUACACCUCGCUUUGGAGCGGUUGGCGUCGCCCGCCGGACGAACCUUCUGAACUUUUCUCAAGGUUGACCUCGGAUCAGGUAUGGAUACCCGCUGAACUUAAGC
RNAcentral lists this unclassified non-coding RNA (308 nucleotides) under plant metagenome. Its description in RNAcentral is "partial contains 5.8S ribosomal RNA, internal transcribed spacer 2, and large subunit ribosomal RNA". The stretch from base 1 to 105 matches the Rfam family "5.8S ribosomal RNA", at positions 50 to 154 of the family's 154-position model. The record is from RNAcentral.